RNAcentral lists this ribosomal RNA (383 nucleotides) under uncultured Ruminococcus sp. RNAcentral's name for it is "bacterial SSU rRNA". It matches the Rfam family "Bacterial small subunit ribosomal RNA", at positions 73 to 455 of the family's 1533-position model. Lineage: Bacteria; Bacillati; Bacillota; Clostridia; Eubacteriales; Oscillospiraceae. The record is from RNAcentral.
AUUUGGUUUACUAAGUAUUCUUAGUGGCGGACGGGUGAGUAACACGUGAGCAACCUGCCUUUGAGAGAGGGAUAGCUUCUGGAAACGGAUGGUAAUACCUCAUAACGUAGUUUUACCGCAUGAUGAGACUACCAAAGAUUUAUCACUCAAAGAUGGGCUCGCGUCUGAUUAGCUAGAUGGUGAGGUAACGGCCCACCAUGGCGACGAUCAGUAGCCGGACUGAGAGGUUGAACGGCCACAUUGGGACUGAGACACGGCCCAGACUCCUACGGGAGGCAGCAGUGGGGAAUAUUGCACAAUGGGGGAAACCCUGAUGCAGCGAUGCCGCGUGGAGGAAGAAGGUUUUCGGAUUGUAAACUCCUGUCUUAAAGGACGAUAAUGAC